GUUAAUCACAACAAUCUUUUUUGUGUUCCUUUCUGUUUUUCAGUGUUGUUUCUCGUGAAAGGUGCACUGCUUCUUGCCUUUGGAUUAAUUUCAUUCAUAUAUUGUCUGGUCAAAUGUAGAUGUGUGUGUCAGAAAGUCUUCCUUCUGCUUUGGUCCAUUCUUGAUAUUACAUUGAGCUUUGUAAUUCUGGACAUCAUUUUGGAAGACGAUAAAGAACUCCCUGCAUGGAUGUGUUUCAAUGUAUUCCUCUACGUCAUGACUGCCACAGUGGUCUUUCA
Long non-coding RNA from Conger conger (European conger), 278 nucleotides. RefSeq lists it as uncharacterized. The transcript has 3 exons. Lineage: Eukaryota; Metazoa; Chordata; Actinopteri; Anguilliformes; Congridae. The record is from RefSeq and is a predicted model, not a curated record.